RNAcentral lists this unclassified non-coding RNA (344 nucleotides) under soil metagenome. RNAcentral's name for it is "partial contains 5.8S ribosomal RNA, internal transcribed spacer 2, and large subunit ribosomal RNA". The stretch from base 1 to 120 matches the Rfam family "5.8S ribosomal RNA", at positions 35 to 154 of the family's 154-position model. The record is from RNAcentral.
GAUGAAGAACGUAGCGAAAUGCGAUAAUUAAUGUGAAUUGCAGAAUUCAGUGAAUCAUCGAAUCUUUGAACGCACAUUGCGCCCGCCAGUAUUCUGGCGGGCAUGCCUGUUCGAGCGUCAUUUCAACCCUCAAGCCCCCGGGCUUGGUGUUGGGGAUCGGCGUGCCCUCGCGGCGCGCCGUCCCCUAAAUCUAGUGGCGGUCUCGCUGUAGCUUCCUCUGCGUAGUAGCAACACUCGCACUGGAUCGCAGCGCGGCCACGCCGUUAAACCCCCCACUUCUGAAAGUUUGACCUCGGAUCAGGUAGGAAUACCCGCUGAACUUAAGCAUAUCAAUAAGCGGAGGA